This 372-nucleotide long non-coding RNA is filed under the name Brassica napus (rape). RNAcentral describes it as "long non-coding RNA (BNAP_LNC019214)". Lineage: Eukaryota; Viridiplantae; Streptophyta; Magnoliopsida; Brassicales; Brassicaceae. The record is from RNAcentral.
GAAGGGGGAGCAUAGAACUGGUAGGUACGUGUAGUUGUGAGUAGAGGUUGGAGGAGUUUGAACUGCUAGUCCCCAAAAAAUGAUUGAUGUUGUGAAAGCAACAACGAAUGCGUGAAAAAGUUCUCUGACAGAUGUUGAUUAUGGUUAUAGUCUCGGCUCAGACUCUUUUUCUUCUUUUGGUGGCUAUUUCGUUUGUGUGCUUUUGUGUUUGGUCCUUCUGAACUCGUCUUUUUUUUUUUUUGGCGGUGGCUCGACGAUGUCGUUAGUCAUAGUAUACAUGUUUUUCGGCAGAGGUCUCGCAUUCGAAUAGGCAGUUAGAAACUUUGAGUGCUUUUUUGCUUUAGACUUUUAUGAACUAAUUAUUUUCUAUGU